Molecule: unclassified non-coding RNA, 602 nt
Filed under: Aspergillus fumigatus
Lineage: Eukaryota; Fungi; Ascomycota; Eurotiomycetes; Eurotiales; Aspergillaceae
Description: sequence contains 18S rRNA gene, ITS1, 5.8S rRNA gene, ITS2, 28S rRNA gene
Rfam family: 5.8S ribosomal RNA (bases 229-382)
Source: RNAcentral
UCGUAACAAGGUUUCCGUAGGUGAACCUGCGGAAGGAUCAUUACCGAGUGAGGGCCCUGUGGGUCCAACCUCCCACCCGUGUCUAUCGUACCUUGUUGCUUCGGCGGGCCCGCCGUUUCGACGGCCGCCGGGGAGGCCUUGCGCCCCCGGGCCCGCGCCCGCCGAAGACCCCAACAUGAACGCUGUUCUGAAAGUAUGCAGUCUGAGUUGAUUAUCGUAAUCAGUUAAAACUUUCAACAACGGAUCUCUUGGUUCCGGCAUCGAUGAAGAACGCAGCGAAAUGCGAUAAGUAAUGUGAAUUGCAGAAUUCAGUGAAUCAUCGAGUCUUUGAACGCACAUUGCGCCCCCUGGUAUUCCGGGGGGCAUGCCUGUCCGAGCGUCAUUGCUGCCCUCAAGCACGGCUUGUGUGUUGGGCCCCCGUCCCCCUCUCCCGGGGGACGGGCCCGAAAGGCAGCGGCGGCACCGCGUCCGGUCCUCGAGCGUAUGGGGCUUUGUCACCUGCUCUGUAGGCCCGGCCGGCGCCAGCCGACACCCAACUUUAUUUUUCUAAGGUUGACCUCGGAUCAGGUAGGGAUACCCGCUGAACUUAAGCAUAUCAAUAA